RNAcentral lists this ribosomal RNA (429 nucleotides) under Gemmatimonadota bacterium. RNAcentral's name for it is "Gemmatimonadetes bacterium partial 16S ribosomal RNA". It matches the Rfam family "Bacterial small subunit ribosomal RNA", at positions 355 to 776 of the family's 1533-position model. Lineage: Bacteria; Pseudomonadati; Gemmatimonadota. The record is from RNAcentral.
UAGGGAAUCUUCGGCAAUGGACGAAAGUCUGACCGAGCAACGCCGCGGGAGGGAAGAAGGUUUUCGGAUCGUAAAACUCUGUUGUUAGAGAAGAACAAGGACGUUAGUAACUGAACGUCCCCUGACGGUAUCUAACCAGAAAGCCACGGCUAACUACGUGCGAGCAGCCGCGGUAAUACGUAGGUGGCAAGCGUUGUCGGAAUUUAUUGGGCGGAAAGCGAGCGCAGGCGGUUUCUUACGUCUGAUGUGAAAGCCCCCGGCUCAACCGGGGAGGGUCAUUGGAAACUGGGAGACUUGAGUGCAGAAGAGGAGAGUGGAAUUCCAUGUGUAGCGGUGAAAUGCGUAGAUUUAGGGAGGAACACCAGUGGCGAAGGCGGCUCUCUGGUCUGUAACUGACGCUGAGGCUCGAAAGCGUGGGGAGCAAACAGG